AAGAUGAGGUUCCUGAGCUUCCAGUAGGCGACUGACUGCCCAAGAGACCCAGGGCUCCGCAAGGAGACGGCGCAGGUGUCGGGGCUCCCCGCAGGCCGGGAAAAAGUGUCCGAACGCCUCGUGGACUGCAGCGGGGGAAAUGUCCCUUAAAAGUGCGACGAAGUGGGGAAGAAGGUGUAAUUACUAUUAUCAGCAUCUAGAAAGCAUCAUGAAUUUGCUGGAGUACUUCCUAGCACUGACCUCCUUCAUUCUGCGUUGUUCUUACUGGAUCUUUCCAUCAGCCAACAAUAUGGAAGUACCAAUACAAGGUCAAAUCAUUCCUGGAUUCAUCUGGAGUUGCUUAAAAGUUAAAUCAUUGGAAUUUUUGAUGAUACCUUUUCUAUAUGGAUUACAAUUUGAUCGCUGGGAAUUCUCCACCUUAAAGAAGACGCAAUUUCACCAUGUUACCCAGGCUGGUCUGGCACUCCUUGGCUCAAGCAAUAGCAGUCUGCCUGCUGCAGCUCUCCAAGUGCUGGGAUUACAGACUCUUUUGCUAUCUGGAAACCCAUGUCCACCUCUGACUUCCACUCAAAAUUGCUUUCCUCACAGUCUGACUGCGAGAGUUGUGAAAAAUUGGGAUGUGCUUCUGAGGUGGGCUGUGGAAUGCCAUGAGAGACGGGGUUUCACCGUGUUAGCCAGGAUGGUCUCAAUCUCCUGACCUCGUGAUCCGCCCACCUCGGCCUCCCAAAGUGCUGGGAUUACAGGCGUGAGCCACCAUGCCUGGUCCUAUAUUCCUUUUCAUUCCUGUCGAGUACCCUCAGGUGACUACAGAUGUGUUAACACCCAGCAUGUUCCGGUAGGAGACUUUCUGGAUGGGGAAGAUUUCCAGGUGUGAAUCAUGGCAAUACAGUGAAAGACAGUGAUUUACUGCUUUUGAGGGCGUGCAUGUAUAUGAUUAACGGAUGGAAGUGCAGGACUCCAAGAUUUACUUCCUUCCCUUUCCAGCAGAAUUACCUGAGACGAGUAAAAUCUACUGGUGGAGUCACUCCAUUAUUCUUAUCUGUGGAGAUCUAGAUCUUGAUUUGAAAGUUUCUGAGAAAAUCUUCAGCUCAGACUUGAGGGUCAACUUUACCAGCUGAAGGAUCUGCAUUUACUGCUCAACCACAUCUAAUUUGAUGUCCUCUGCAGAUUUAAAAUGUGUGCCUUCUUUUCCGUCACCAAGUCAUCCCUGGGUUACUACUGAACAUCCUUCUCAAUUCCCCCCGACCCAUGGAUGGCUGUUCUCCAUUGUCUGUUUCACCAGAUGUCCUCAAAACAAACAGACAGAAGAAGGAAGUGGCUAAUGGAGCUGUGGAGUCCAAGUGUGACUGCCAAGAGGAAUCCAGCAAAGCCAAAAAGCCCAAGCAUGUAGCCCUGCCCGAAGCACGCCACACGCAUGGAAAACCCAGAGGAAAUGAGUGAGGAUCAAUGGGAAGAAGAGAGCCAGCCAGGUCUGAAUGAUUUCAUGAAUAUUGUGGU
This 1497-nucleotide long non-coding RNA is filed under the name Homo sapiens (human). RNAcentral describes it as "non-protein coding CASC15:33". The record is from RNAcentral. Lineage: Eukaryota; Metazoa; Chordata; Mammalia; Primates; Hominidae.